GGUGGCUCAGUGGUAGGGUGCUUGCCUUGCAUGCAUGAGACCCUGGGUUCGAUUCCUCAGCACCA
Non-coding RNA from Dipodomys ordii (Ord's kangaroo rat), 65 nucleotides. Lineage: Eukaryota; Metazoa; Chordata; Mammalia; Rodentia; Heteromyidae. The record is from Rfam.